UUAUCAUUCAAGUUAAAUGAUGGAUCUGUUCAUGAGGCGGAUAAUCGCUUAAUUUCCAUUAGUUUUCGAGGAAUUAUCAACGAGCAGCCAUCGAAUAAUUGCUCGCUUUCUUAUACCUCGUGUUAAAAUUUUAAAAAAAUAAUUAA
Caenorhabditis elegans is the source of this 146-nucleotide non-coding RNA. NCBI's taxonomy places the organism in Eukaryota, Metazoa, Nematoda, Chromadorea, Rhabditida, Rhabditidae. The record is from Ensembl.